GUUGACCUCGGAUCAGGUAGGGAUACCCGCUGAACUUAAGCAUAUCAAUAAGCGGAGGAAAAGAAACCAACAGGGAUUGCCUCAGUAACGGCGAGUGAAGCGGCAACAGCUCAAAUUUGAAAUCUGGCGCAAGCCCGAGUUGUAAUUUGUAGAGGAUGCUUCAGGGCAGCGGCCGGUCUAAGUUCCUUGGAACAGGACGUCAUAGAGGGUGAGAAUCCCGUAUGCGACCGGUUGGCACCCGUCACGUAGCUCCUUCGACGAGUCGAGUUGUUUGGGAAUGCAGCUCUAAAUGGGUGGUAAAUUCCAUCUAAAGCUAAAUACCGGCCAGAGACCGAUAGCGCACAAGUAGAGUGAUCGAAAGAUGAAAAGCACUUUGGAAAGAGAGUUAAAAAGCACGUGAAAUUGUUGAAAGGGAAGCGCAUGCAACCAGACUUGUCGGCGGCGUUCCGCCGGUCUUCUGACCGGUCCACUCGCCGCCGGCAGGCCAGCAUCAUCUGGGCGCGCCGGACAAAGGCGCGGGGAAUGUAGCUCCUCGGAGUGUUAUAGCCCCGCGCACAAUACGGCGCCGCCCGGGUGAGGUCCGCGCUCCGGCUAGGAUGCUGGCGUAAUGGUUGUAUGCGGCCCGUCUUGAAACACGGACCAAGGAGUCUAACAUCUAUGCGAGUGUUCGGGUGUCAAACCCCUGCGCGGAAUGAAAGUGAACGGAGGUGGGAAGCGCAAGCUGCACCAUCGACCGAUCCUGAUGUCUUCGGAUGGAUUCGAGUAAGAGCAUAGCUGUUGGGACCCGAAAGAUGGUGAACUAAACUUGGCCAGAGCGAAGCCAGAGGAAACUCUGGUGGAGGCUCGCAGCGGUUCUGACGUGCAAAUCGAUCGUCAAAGCUGGGUUUAGGGGCGAAAGACUAAUCGAACC
This 910-nucleotide ribosomal RNA is filed under the name Teratosphaeria proteae-arboreae. Its description in RNAcentral is "eukaryotic LSU rRNA". It matches the Rfam family "Eukaryotic large subunit ribosomal RNA", at positions 1 to 941 of the family's 3401-position model. Lineage: Eukaryota; Fungi; Ascomycota; Dothideomycetes; Mycosphaerellales; Teratosphaeriaceae. The record is from RNAcentral.